GACGAACGCUGGCGGCGUGCUUAACACAUGCAAGUCGAGCGGUAAGGCCCUUUCGGGGGUACGACGAGCGGCGAACGGGUGAGUAACACGUGGGUGACCUGCCCUUAGCUCUGGGAUAAGCCUGGGAAACUGGGUCUAAUACCGGAUAUGACUCCAUGACGCAUGUUGUGGGGUGGAAAGCCUUGUGCGGCUAGGGAUGGGCCCGCGGCCUAUCAGCUUGUUGGUGGGGUGAUGGCCACCAAGGCGACGACGGGUAGCCGGCCUGAGAGGGCGACCGGCCACACUGGGACUGAGACACGGCCCAGACUCCUACGGGAGGCAGCAGUGGGGAAUCUUGCGCAAUGGGCGAAAGCCUGACGCAGCGACGCCGCGUGGGGA
Molecule: ribosomal RNA, 378 nt
Filed under: uncultured bacterium
Lineage: Bacteria
Description: bacterial SSU rRNA
Rfam family: Bacterial small subunit ribosomal RNA
Source: RNAcentral